CACCAAUGAUGGUUAAUAAUUUUUCACCUGAAUAAACCAUGUGGUCAUAUUUUAUCUGAGGAAA
Callithrix jacchus (white-tufted-ear marmoset) is the source of this 64-nucleotide small nucleolar RNA. NCBI's taxonomy places the organism in Eukaryota, Metazoa, Chordata, Mammalia, Primates, Cebidae. The record is from Ensembl.